Molecule: microRNA precursor, 59 nt
Filed under: Nautilus pompilius
Lineage: Eukaryota; Metazoa; Mollusca; Cephalopoda; Nautilida; Nautilidae
Description: Npo-Mir-12503_pre stem-loop
Source: RNAcentral
UGAACCAUGGUUAAUGAACAUUGUAUAUUAUAUGGCAAUGGUCUUGACCAUGUUUUACC